GGUUCCAAGCCCGGGAAAGGAGGAGGGAAAAAUGGCAGCUCAGUGUAAACGGGCAAUGCAUUGAAUGACUGUACAGGUGAAGUCCUCAUUUUAUUAGGCUACGGUGGUCUUGCCAGUUGUCAGUACAUUUCUAUAUAAAAUGUGAAGUCCUCAUUCAUUUCUGGUUUGUUUUGCAGUGCGCAUCUCUGGUGUAACAGCCUAAUUACAUAAAUUCGGUUGACUAUGAGUUUGAAGACAUCUUUCAGUUUUCAUGUGUUGUUAUACUGAGAUACAUACUUUAACUCAAAUAUUGUUCCAGAUAUUAUAUUUUUAAUGUUUUAGGGUUGUUUUGUCAUCCAUGUUGUUGUUCUCCUCUUUUGAAUUGGGAUGUUGCAUAACCUGCAUCAGCGAUUGCACUUUGUGAUUUCGGUAGUUUUGAAGAACAAGCAAACAAAUACUAUGUUUACUGUGAAAACUAAUCUAAUUCUGCAUGGUAGUUUUGAUUUGCUUUGAAGACAGUCAGCAGUUUGAUUGCUUUGGUACAUAUCAAUUGCUUAGAUGUCUGUGUUAUGGUAUCAGUUGACUGAUGGAUAUUCAUAAAAUUUCUGUUUAUUUCAGUGCAGAUCGAUCAGUGGUGAAGAACUUUCUAUAUUGAUACUUUCAGGCAAUCAUAUUGCAAUCACAUUUGUUGACCAGUACAAGUUAAGGUAUACUAACGUCUUUCAGCUUUAUUCACAUCAGGAGUAUGUAUUCUCUCCAAGACUCACCCCUGUAUUCUGCAUGU
RNAcentral lists this long non-coding RNA (763 nucleotides) under Aquilegia coerulea. RNAcentral describes it as "long non-coding RNA (ACOE_LNC001709)". Lineage: Eukaryota; Viridiplantae; Streptophyta; Magnoliopsida; Ranunculales; Ranunculaceae. The record is from RNAcentral.